RNAcentral lists this ribosomal RNA (444 nucleotides) under uncultured bacterium. RNAcentral describes it as "bacterial SSU rRNA". It matches the Rfam family "Bacterial small subunit ribosomal RNA", at positions 334 to 770 of the family's 1533-position model. The record is from RNAcentral.
UACUCCUACGGGAGGCAGCAGUGGGGAAUUUUGGACAAUGGGCGCAAGCCUGAUCCAGCCAUGCCGCGUGAGUGAAGAAGGCCUUCGGGUUGUAAAGCUCUUUCAGCCGGAAAGAAAACGCACGGGUUAAUACCCUGUGUGGAUGACGGUACCGGAAGAAGAAGCACCGGCUAACUACGUGCCAGCAGCCGCGGUAAUACGUAGGGUGCGAGCGUUAAUCGGAAUUACUGGGCGUAAAGCGUGCGCAGGCGGUUUUGUAAGACAGAUGUGAAAUCCCCGGGCUUAACCUGGGAACUGCAUUUGUGACUGCAAGGCUAGAGUACGGCAGAGGGGGGUAGAAUUCCACGUGUAGCAGUGAAAUGCGUAGAUAUGUGGAGGAAUACCGAUGGCGAAGGCAGCCCCCUGGGUCGAUACUGACGCUCAUGCACGAAAGCGUGGGGAGCA